Molecule: ribosomal RNA, 528 nt
Filed under: uncultured bacterium
Lineage: Bacteria
Description: bacterial SSU rRNA
Rfam family: Bacterial small subunit ribosomal RNA
Source: RNAcentral
GGCUCAGAACGAACGGCUGGCAGCGUGGAUGAGGCAUGCAAGUCGAACGGUCGUGUGGUGGUAGCAAUAUUGCCGCGCGAUAGUGGCGGAAGGGCGAGUAAUGCGAGAGCAAGCUACCCCUCGAUUCGGAACAACGGCUGGAAACGGCCGCUAAUGCCGGAUACGAACGGUCCCCCCGCAUGGGGAAUCGUUGAAAGGCCGGGACCCGCAAGGGCCGGUCGUCGAAGGAGGCGCUCCCGUGCCAUCGGCUAGUUGGCGAGGUAACGGCUCACCAAGGCGUACGGCUAGGUGGACUGAGAGGUUGGUCACCCGCACUGGGACUGAGACACUGCCCAGACUCCUACGGGAGGCUGCAGUCGAGGAUCAUUUGCAAUGGGCGAAAGCCUGACAAUGCGACGCUGCGUGCAGGAUGAAGGCCUUCGGGUUGUAAACUGCUGUUGGGAGGGAAAAGGACGCGGGGCCCAACAAGCCCUGCCGUUUGAUUGUACUUCCAGAGAAAGUCGCGGCUAACUCUGUGCCAGCCGCCGC